UAGGGAAUCUUCGGCAAUGGGGGGAACCCUGACCGAGCAACGCCGCGUGAGUGAAGAAGGUUUUCGGAUCGUAAAGCUCUGUUGUUAAGGAAGAACGAGUGUGAGAAUGGAAAGUUCAUGCUGUGACGGUACUUAACCAGAAAGGGACGGCUAACUACGUGCCAGCAGCCGCGGUAAUACGUAGGUCCCGAGCGUUGUCCGGAAUUAUUGGGCGUAAAGCGCGCGCAGGCGGUCUCUUAAGUCCAUCUUAGAAGUGCGGGGCUUAACCCCGUGAGGGGAUGGAAACUGGGAGACUGGAGUAUCGGAGAGGAAAGUGGAAUUCCUAGUGUAGCGGUGAAAUGCGUAGAUAUUAGGAAGAACACCGGUGGCGAAGGCGACUUUCUGGACGAAAACUGACGCUGAGGCGCGAAAGCGUGGGGAGCAAACAGG
RNAcentral lists this ribosomal RNA (429 nucleotides) under Verrucomicrobiota bacterium. RNAcentral describes it as "Verrucomicrobia bacterium partial 16S ribosomal RNA". It matches the Rfam family "Bacterial small subunit ribosomal RNA", at positions 355 to 776 of the family's 1533-position model. Lineage: Bacteria; Pseudomonadati; Verrucomicrobiota. The record is from RNAcentral.